RNAcentral lists this transfer RNA (72 nucleotides) under Pseudomonadota bacterium. RNAcentral's name for it is "tRNA-Gly". It matches the Rfam family "tRNA". Rfam says of the family: Transfer RNA (tRNA) molecules are approximately 80 nucleotides in length. Their secondary structure includes four short double-helical elements and three loops (D, anti-codon, and T loops). Further hydrogen bonds mediate the characteristic L-shaped molecular structure. tRNAs have two regions of fundamental functional importance: the anti-codon, which is responsible for specific mRNA codon recognition, and the 3' end, to which the tRNAs corresponding amino acid is attached (by aminoacyl-tRNA synthetases). tRNAs cope with the degeneracy of the genetic code in two manners: having more than one tRNA (with a specific anti-codon) for a particular amino acid; and 'wobble' base-pairing, i.e. permitting non-standard base-pairing at the 3rd anti-codon position. Lineage: Bacteria; Pseudomonadati; Pseudomonadota. RNAcentral also lists the same sequence under 1 other name. The record is from RNAcentral.
GCGGGAGUAGCUCAGUGGUAGAGCUCCUGCCUUCCAAGCAGGCUGCCGCGGGUUCGAAUCCCGUCUCCCGCU